CGAGCCGCCAUGCACGGGCUGGGUCCCACCGAGAGAUGGAGCCGCCUCCAGUUAGCACCGCCCCCCGUAGUACUUUUCCUCUCGCGUCACGCGACCUCCCCCUUUCUUCGAUUCUGGCCCGGCGGCGCCUCCUCGCGUCUCCUCCAGCCCGUGCCUUCUCUUCUCCCCUUUGGCCCUUUCCCACAAGCAGUCCUCGUCGCCGGAUCCGUCGCCGGAAGAGGAGGGGAGAGAAUGGUGGGUCCAGUCCUUGCGGCCGUCAUCCUCGGUGAUGAAGGCGCCCAUGUCCUUUCGGCGGCGAUGCAGUGGGGCGAGUUCCCGGUGAUGAGAUGAUGUGGUGCGAAGGGGGUGGCGCGACGGCGGUAGGGAAGCAGCGGUGGUGCAGCUAAGCGGGUUGCUGGUGGGGCGGCCAGGGGGGCGGCUGGGUGGUGAAACCCUAGCAGGGAGGCAUGGAGGCUUGUCCCUAAGCAUCGGCACCUGCUGGUUACCUCCCCCGCUGCCGCCAAACAAUCCACCACCGCGGGGGAAGAGAGAGUGUGUCCUUUCCUCCCUCGUUUUUUAUGCAUAUAUUCUCUAUUCUUGUUUCUCAUCCGUGCGUAGGUGGAUCAGAUGCUGCGCGUGGUAGUCUCGGUUGGGGCUUCACAUGCAACGUGCACCUGGUUCGCAACAUCAUUUACGGUGGCAGCUCUAGAAUUUGAUCAUGAUUGUCCAGGAUUUUCCACUACACGAUGGUCUGCAUUUCUUAGUUUUCAUCCAUUCAAGUUUUCUCUCAGGAGAGUGAAAUUUAUGCAGGUUUGUACGUUGGUCACAGAUUUGAUGUCAUUGACGCUAUAGUUUUUACAUAUUUGGGGAUAGGUUGCUUCUCUAGACAUGAUAGUUUGAUUCUGCAUCAUCACUUGACCUCCUGCAUAUUGGAUUUACAGGAUAAGCUUAUAAAUGUUGGAUUUAUGCAGACAUUAGUUGAGGUUAGAUAACCUACAUUUCAUCUUAUAUUUCCUAUUUGAAAAUCUUUGUUUUACUUACGAUGAUUACCACAUAUCUAAUUUUUCGUUGUUGAUCCAUAUUUUCGUAGUUGAGACCAAUUCAUCAAACCCUCUGAGUAAGAAGUUAAGAAAUACUCUGUGUGUAUUUAAUGUUACUCCCAAAAAUAAUCAUGUUCCAUCAAAAUGCAAUAUCCACCGAAUUCUAUGUUAUUUUUCUCUAUCUAGACUUGAUCAGUCAUAUGUCUUGUUUUCCAUUUUCUUCCUAUAUGAAUAUGCAUACAAGGGUACCUCAUGCAAUGAAAGUUAAUUAUAUUUUCUAUUUCAUUGUGAGAGGGACAAAGUUAAUUAGUUUUACUGUUAAAUAGUAGCUCACGCUGCCUCUCGUUAUGGUGUGGUGUUGUAGGUCGGGAGAGUGUAAUUUAGUUUAAGCUAAGUUCAGGGUGAACCAUAUUUAAAUUUCAGGUUUACAAAUCACAACUAUAGUUUGUAGUCUACGCAGUUGUGGAGAGAUGGGCAAGAAAAAAUUGCAUAUCAGUCUGAACUUAUAGGAAUGUUGAUGCCCGUCGGUCACAAAAAAGAGUUGAGUGAUAUCAAGUAGGGUCAUUUAUUUUGUCCGAAUUUUCAUGUGUAACCUGAUAUAUAUUAUUGAGGCAUAUUAAUCUGUAUACUAAAUUUUCAAGAUGCAUCCUUGAAUAUUAGACACAAGGUUUGUUGGAUGUCUGCUAUCUUUAGAUUCUUGCAACCUUUCCGUCAAUCUUUUUUUAAGGUGUAUGCAUAUUUAUUAGGACAUUCAUCUGAUGGUAUUACGAUAUUUGUCGUGUACGCAUCGCUGAUGACACAGACAGCUGCGACAUCCAUAUUUUCGACGGGUCAGCAUUGGCACGACACCUAGGCCUUGGAGAUUAAUGACGAUGAGGAAUAGAUCAGAUUUCUGAAGACUUAAGAGACUUUGGUAUCUAUCAAAGUUACACGAUGUAAUUGUUUCUCGCUAUGUGUGAGGAUAGACAAAAGUUUCCUGCAUGAAGUGAAUUUCCCAGUUUUCUAUGGAGCAAAGUGGAAGCAUGGGCUGACCUUGAUAAAGUGAAAUUGUUUACCACUGCAGAAGGUGGUUUAUCUUCCUAAUUCAGGAUUUGUGCCAUUGCCAUCGUUCUGCUUCUUUAAUCUAUCACUAUGAAAGAUAUGGCUUCCCUCCCCAUAAUUUAUACAGAUGGUUUUCAUACUGAUUUACUUUCUUUCGGUUACGACUCUGAUAUUUGAGCUGUUUUGCCGCUGGUCAUCGCUGCUAUCGUGCUGUUGAAGUUAUCGGCAAGUACUUGUUGAGGUAUGAUGGUUCUUAUUUUAUUGUGUCCAUUUGCCUGUGCCUUGCCGAUUUGCUCCAUAAAAUAGUCUGCUCUUUGCCUGGUUGAGGAUGUUCCGCUGUCUUCCUGUUCAGUCAGCAGUUUCUUCAUUUAGUUUAUUUUAUGUCUUGUUAAAAUCGUUCACCUUUUGCCAUCUAGACACGACUAGCUAUUGUAGUGACAUGUAAUAUGUUUCUGGCCAACUUACAGAUUUCUCCCAGUUUGAGUUUGUCAGCUUCUUCAAAGAAAAUGGCCUGUAAGAAUUACUUAUGUAAAACCAGGUUUAGUUUCUAUUUACAUGAUGCUUCUUGUAAUACUUUGGUUGUCUACUUUACUGCUGCAUUUGUUUAAAUUUCUGCGGUUGUCUUUGCCAUUAUUUAUUUAAGCUAGGAAGCUAAUAUAACUUUGUAACCAAUUGUGCCUUUGUGCAGGCUAGCAAACCUGCUAUCAUACAAUUGUAAGUUCAAUUUUUAGAGGCAGACUCAUAAGUAAGAAGGUAUUUUGCUAUAUUUGCUUCUGUAAAUGUUCAUAUAUUUUUAUCACACCACUGGUGUUAGAUGUCUUGAUGAGGAGGUUCUGCAAUGAUAAUUUGGAAUAAGCGAAUCUAGCAUUGUAAUGCUUCAGAUUCUCUUUCGGUAGAGUGGAUGUCAUGUGCUUUGGGUUCGGUAGAGGCUAAAACGUGGUGAACUCGAUUUGUUUACCCUGUGCUAUUAUCCCACUGAAACUGUCUCCCCUCACAGUAUUUGUUUAACAUAGUGAUACCUACUGUAACAUGACCAUGCGUAUUUGUCUAGGCAAGAAGCUUUGUUGUUCUGUUUUUUUUUCCGAAAUUAGCUUCUGCCUUCGCUUACAAAUUUAGCGUUUGCAAGCCAAUUAGUUACCUCAUUCCUUUGUCAAUAUAGAAUUAUGGGGCAGUAUUAGUAGGGUGUUACAGGAAAAAAAAUGCUGCUUCUAGCCUGAUUUAGAUCGCUGUUAUAAUUCUCAUCUAUGCUUGAAUUUCCUAUAUCGAGUGAUUAUGCCUAACCAUAUGAGACUCAGGACAAAAUAAUCAUUCAGUGACAAAGGAAUGAAUCAUGGAUAAUAAAGACAGCUGCUACUCUUUCCUUUUUUUUGGUACAAACACUAACGAAAUACUCACUAGAAAUAUCUUGCAGGUUGCACCUAGCCGUUUGUGUUUUUGUAGUAGGGGAAUGCAUCCCAUAUUUGUAUUACACUGGUUAGAUACAUGAGACUCGGAUUUCGCAAAAAAGAUACAUGAGACUCAGAGCAAGGUAAUACAAUUUCACAGUGAUUUUACAUGAAAAAAUGCUGCUUCUAGCCUGAUUUAGAUCGCUGUUAUAAGUCUCAUCUAUGCUUGGAUGUCCUAUUUGGAGUGAUUAUGCUAAGGCAUGUGAGGGUUUUUGAGUCUUUGUAUAGCCGCUGAGUCAUUUUCUCAAAAUCACGACGGCUCGCAACUAAACAUCGACUUAUGGCGACUGUACAACGACUUUUGUCGACUAAACACUGAGUCACAGGGCUGGUGACUCAGUUUUGAGUCGUGACUCAAAUACCUUAUUCAAAAGUAUGCAUCUAGCCCCUCAUCAAGUGCAAGACCUGCUUCUGCUUUCUCCAUCGAUAAGCCUAAUUCACAUACUGGUUCAGAUCGCCAUCUAUGGUUUGUCCCUUCCUAUUGGUCAUUUUCUCUCUCCAUGCUUUUGAUGUUGGUUUCAGAACUGUCCUAAAUGUUCAAUCUGUAAAUAUCGCUGUCCAUAUGAUGGUUGGAUGAUCAUAACUCACUAUUUGAGAGGUAGAUGGUGUUGCAAUAACUCUAGCCAAAGAAUGGUCAGGCUGGCAUGCAACUAAUAUUUAUACUUGUUCAUAGCAUGAUUUAGCUGCUUUCUUAUACACUACAGAUUUUGUAAUAGGGAACUUUCCUUAUGUUAUGCAUCUUUCCAUGACAAGAACAACUUAAAUAUUCACUUCUGGAAAUUCAGUUACUCUCUUUUCCCGAGUGUUAUAAAUCGAUGCCUACACAAUUGCCUUUCGUGCAUUGCUACAUUCUAGACUGCAAUUUUGUUGGCCUUGGCCAACAAAAGGAUCAGCAAAUGUUGAUGCAUCAAGUGCCUGUCUUUUUUCAUGUUUCAGCCAUUUUUAAUUUCAUGAUUUAAUGACCUGAAUAUUAUUAGGAUAUGAUACACACUCUUCAAUUUUUCUUUGACUAAACAAUUGCUCUGACCUUUUUAUGGAACCAUAAGUCUCCCGCCCAUUCCUUACAUUGCUUGUGAGUUGGCUAUCGAAGGUUUUUUUAUUUAUCCAUAAGGAAUUAUUUGGUUCUUUUAAUUAUUUGGGUUUUAGGACAGUCUCCCGCGCAUCACUUUCUCUUAUGCUGUAAAUUAGCCUAAGCUUCUGUUUAUUCUCCUUUUCCUAAACUGAACUGAUCCUGCUACUCGGUAACAAGGUGGUUCGUUGAUCCACUCCUUAACUGUUUGUGUUGGCUUUCUAUUUUUAUGAGUAAAAUAUGAUGCUGGAGAACACCAGCCGAAACAUAGUGUUUUUGCAGGCUGGUCUGAUGGGCCUCCACAGUGAGGAUGUCAAUUAUGCUAAGAAGAGAUGCAUGAUGUUGUUUGUUUAGGUCGGGUUUCCAUCUGCCACUGUCAUUGUUUACUCGCGUUUCUUCCUCUUUGGCAGGGCAAUGUGGCCACUGUAUCAAGUUGAGAAUCUUCUUCGGCCGACCAGAAAGAAAGGAAAGUAGUUCCAUGCAUGUUCAGUGAUUUUGGGCCAUCUAUGGAAGGUCCCGAUCCAUCUUGGUGCUCCUACACGCUCCUUUCGGUCCUGGCCUCUUUUGCUUUGUAUGUGAGUUAUGCAUAUGCUCAUGUCGAAAUGGUGAUGUGUAAUACACUAUUGAAUUGAAUUGAAGUGAACCUUUUUUAUCCGCAAAACAAAAUCCACAAGGUGCCUUGGUAGGCUCACACAAUCACUUUCAUAUUCUCUAUGUAAAGUACUUGUUUGUGUAAAUGAUUUCUCUAUGAAAAACAGGCUUGGUACCACCAAAUAUCUUCUGAAA
Long non-coding RNA from Lolium perenne, 5360 nucleotides. RefSeq lists it as uncharacterized. NCBI's taxonomy places the organism in Eukaryota, Viridiplantae, Streptophyta, Magnoliopsida, Poales, Poaceae. The record is from RefSeq and is a predicted model, not a curated record.